RNAcentral lists this ribosomal RNA (318 nucleotides) under uncultured eukaryote. RNAcentral's name for it is "partial 18S ribosomal RNA". It matches the Rfam family "Eukaryotic small subunit ribosomal RNA", at positions 1470 to 1796 of the family's 1831-position model. The record is from RNAcentral.
CCCUUAGAUGUCCUGGGCCACACGCGUGCUACACUGACGCAUACAGCGAGCACUUUCCAGUUCCGAGAGGCUACUGGUAAUCAUCAAUAUGCGUCGUGAUGGGGAUAGAUCUUUGGAAUUCUGGAUCUUGAACGAGGAAUGCCUAGUAAUCGCAGGUCAUUAGCCUGCGAUGAUUAAGUCCCUGCCCUUUGUACACACCGCCCGUCGCUACUACCGAUUUCGAGUGGUCAGGUGAAUCUUUCGGACUGUGGGCGCCCUUGAGGUGUUCGCGGAAAGUCAGGUAAAUCUUAUCACUUAGAGGAAGUAAAAGUCGUAACA